UCUUUGAACAAGCAAAACAACCUAUAAUAUAAGAAAAAGAAGGCAUGCCUACAAGGCUACAAUGCUGCAUCAAAAAGGAUAAAUCAGGGCCAUAAAUGAUAAUGAUAAGAGGAAAGAAGCUUCAGGAGCAACUAUAUGAAAUCUAUUUACAUAAAAUAAAUAGCAGAGGAAGAAAUCAUCACUCAGCAAAAGCCCAACAUAAUAACUCAUGAUCCGGCUCACGACAGCAAUCUCUUUAUGCGGUAAAGUCGCACAUUUCAAUCUAUUGAACUUCUGACACUGAGGCAUCCAACCUUUGCUCUUUCUGAUUCCCAAUAUCCUUAGUGUGCUGCAACUCUUUUGACAACCAGAAGACUUGCAUCAAGCCACCAUUCCCAAUAUGAGAAAAAAAUACCCGCCUUGGAAUUUCCAAGCAUAACGAGAUAAGCUUAAUGAGCACAAAAAACAAUCCAAUGCCCACGAGAAGCUUAAAAGAGUCAUCCUGUCCGACAGCCAGUAAAAGCAAUGUAAGUUUGUCGACUAAGAAUAAAAUGCAGUGAUAGAUUGCAAGUAAGCAACAAGUUAACCUUUAUACUUCUCUGAAAAUAGUCGUGAAAGAACUCCUUUAAGAAAUCUGUCAGUGCAACACCUAUGAAUAAACCGAGUGGAAUCAUCAGCUCUCU
RNAcentral lists this long non-coding RNA (662 nucleotides) under Phoenix dactylifera (date palm). Its description in RNAcentral is "long non-coding RNA (PDAC_LNC011703)". The record is from RNAcentral. Lineage: Eukaryota; Viridiplantae; Streptophyta; Magnoliopsida; Arecales; Arecaceae.